GGAGAUAUUGGAAUUUAUAAGUAAUGUUUUGGGUGAAGAUGUUUUCAAGGAAAAAGUUAGGAGAUCAGAUAUUGUACGUUUCACCAGAAGAGUCGAGUUCAAGAGGCUAGAAUAAGGGGAGCUUUAGAUAAGCAUUGGUGUAGUAAGGUUUAAGAAACCAAUUGGGAUUAGUGUAUCAGUAACAUUAGAGGUUAGAAGAAAGAAAAGUAUUGGUGAUCAAUGGAGAAGCAUUGGAAGAGGUUGGCAACUUGAUCGGUGUAUCAGCAAUGGUUGAGACCUGAAUAAGAAAAGUGGUGAAUGAUUUGAAGCUUAAGUUAAGAAAGUAAUAGGAAUUAUUAAAUGGACCAAAAGGGAUAAAUAUUUAGAAAGGAAUUAGAAGAAGAAGAGUUUGAGAAGCAGUUGUGUAAGUCAGAGAUCAGAUCUAAGGAGGGUGUAUUAUGAAGACAGAAUUUCCAAAUUGAGAGAACGUGAAGUCUUUGAAGAGAAUUGAAAUAUCGUAAGGGUUUUAAGUUAGGUGAUAAUUAGAAGGAGAUGGAUAGGUCUUAUCAACAAAUUGAUUUGGUAUAUUCAAGUUUCGAUUGAUGUUCCAAGAUUUAUGGUUUGUUUAGAAGAAAGGUUUAAUCAUUGGCUAAGAUGGAAAAUUUCAUGUGUUGAAGGCAAAAGUACAUCAAAAUGUCAGUUUGAUAGGAAAGUGUAUGGUUAAGAGAAUUAGAAGCUUGGUAAAUGAGGAAUGGAGAAGAAAGGUCUUAUAUCAAAUGAAUAAAGGGUUGUCUCAGUAUAAGUUGCUGAAGAGUGUUAAGAAUGACUAGAGAAUCCGGGUCGAUUUAGAUGUUUAGAGUUAUGAAGUGGCAUCGGGUGGUGCGAUCAGUUUUCUUCGGUUGUGGUAUUAUGGUAAUGUGCAGUGAUCAGAUGAGUUUGAUCAAGCGAGAAGUGGAUGUUAGAUGUUGACUUUUAGAAGACAGAAAGUUGGUAAGUUCGGAUAAAGUUAGAGGGUUAGUUAGAGGGUUAAUGUUGCGGGUUAAGGGUAUUCUGAUGAACGCAAGUGAAGAAGAUGUAAUGUCAUUCUUUUUAGGUUUGAGGUGUGAUAACAAGAAAGGUUUGAUUAUUUCAUACCGUUUUUGGGAGGUUAUGGUCUUCAAGAGAUGUGUUGUGUUUUGAGAAGGAGAAUCAAUGGUUAAGCAUUAGAGGUGGAUCAAGUUAUAAAUGAGAAGAUGAAGAGUUAUAGAAGUCAGAAGAUUUUAGCAAGGAUAAGUGGAGAAGAGAAGAUAGAUCUUUAUGGUGUAAGGGUUUUAGUUGGUGUUCUACAACAAGUAUGAGACUUUAUGCCUUGGAGAAGUGGAGUUCACUUUGGAGUGAUGUCUAAAAUAGAACUGGUGUCAAUAAUAUCUUUUUGGAUGGUUCCUGUUGAAGUUGUGUAGUACCAGAGAAAGGUGGAAGCUUGGUUAGAGCAGCAAUGCUUUGGAUUCAGUGCAAUUAUAGGGAAAAGUUACAAGUUUGAUGAAUCUCAGGAGAAGAGUAGAGAAACAAUGGAAACGGUUUAGUAUGAGUUUUGGUAGACUAAUUUGAAUUUUGGGAGUACGUUUUCGUCGAAUAGAAACAGGGUUGAAGAAAUAAAAGGACAAUAUUAUCAUGGAUGAGAAGAAUUCUAAAAGUUUUUGCAAUAUCAUAGCAGUUUAAAGAAGGUUUUGGAGAAUGAUCGUUUUUCGGAUUGUCGAUUGGUAUGAAGAGAGUAUCAGGUAAAGAGAGAAGUAAGGAAGUAUGAAAUCAAAGUAGCACAGUGAAUGUUAGUGGGCAAGUUCUUAUCAGUAAGCGGCGUGUGCGAAGCACUUUCUAAGACUCGGGUUAGUGGUUUGUGAAGAUUGAACUUCUUUAACAAGGUAAGGAUCUCAUGGUCUGUUUUGAGUUUAGAGUAUGUGUGGUGAUCUUCAAAAGAGUAAGAGAAAAUAAAGAUAGUCUGCGGUUUCAAUCUGAAGUGACAACUUUGAAAUGUUAAAAUGUUAUAGGACGUUGAAUCAGGAAAGUGGGUUAAUGUGAUGAAGAAGAGAAAUUGAGUUUUGGUUUCAAGUUAUAGCGUUAGCUUUGAGGUGAAUAAGCAUUAAUAGUGGUUGGAACAAAAAGAAGGUUUAGGUUGUCGGUUUGGUAAGGGCAGAGAAAUCAGAGUUAGCUGAAAAAAUGUGAAGGCUAGUUGUCUAAAGGAAAUGUGGUGAAGAGAACUCAUUAUUAUAGUUGAAGUACUAUAACUGGUGAGUUUCUUGAUAGGAUUCAGCUAGGGCGGUUGGAUAAAUCCUAGUUUAAGAGGUAUCUUAAGGUGGACUAGUAUUGAUCAAGCUAGUGAUUUCAAGUCGAGAAAAAUAUAGAUCCAAGUAUGGGUCAGGUUGGCAAGUUAAAGAACUAAAGAUGGAGAGCUCGUGUCGGUUUUGUCAAGGCGAUGAAUAAGAAGUUCUGGUUUGGUAAUAGGAUAGCAUAGUUGGAAACUAUGCUACUCAAGAGUGAAGAUCAGUGAAGCAAUGUGUUGUCAUCAGAAUGGUGGGGUUUAAGGGUGAAUCAAGAGUGUUAAAGUUGGUAGAAAAAUCAAAAGUUGUGUUGAUCAAGCCAGUGGGAUGGUGGUACUUGAAAGGAACAAGAGGAGGUAUAUGAGUAUCGGUCAAGGGUUAAAUUGAAGUCAAGAUUAAGGGAAGUCUUAGAAGAGAUUUACAAGAAGUGGCGGAAGGUGGAUGAGUGGUUAUCAGUGUGGCAGACGCAAUAGGGUUGGUUUUGCGAAAGAAAGUUUCCUAUUAGUUGAAGUUUAGGAGUUCAUAUUUGUCUUGAGAGUAAUGGCUAAACCAAUAUACAUUAUUGAACACUAAAGCAUUUUAACACAGAGGCAAGGUUUUCGUGUUAGUAAAGUUAAGGGAGUAAUAUCUUUGUCAAAUAGGUGGUUGAACCAGAGAAUGUAAUGAGAUUAGGGUGUUCAUUCUCUCUGAUAAGUCUUAAUUUUCAAGGACGAAAACUUUGUUGUUGGGGAGAAUGUAAGGUCUGAGAAAAAUAUAACUUUUAGAGUGCACAUGUGUCGACAGAUGAUGGGUUGAUUUUUUAGUGUGAAAUAACAUAACUUGAGAAUUUCCCAGUUUUUCCCAUUGUCUGAAGCACCAUUUCUUUUUCAAAGCCUUCUUUCUCUUUGCUCUACCUUCUCUCCCUCCUAUUCCAAAACUUAACCAAUAUUUUGUUGAUCAGAAGCUUCCUAGGCAAUCAGGGCUUCAAGAGCAACACUUUCGACCGAUCAAAUUAUGUUUUCUUCAAUUUGUGAGUUAAAUCCCCUUUUCUGUUCACUCUAGGGUUGUAAGCAUGUAAUAAAAUCUGAUUGCAUGUAGCCCAUUUCUUAUUCCUUCACUUUUUAGCUUCUACUCGGUU
RNAcentral lists this long non-coding RNA (3390 nucleotides) under Vigna radiata. RNAcentral's name for it is "long non-coding RNA (VRAD_LNC008130)". Lineage: Eukaryota; Viridiplantae; Streptophyta; Magnoliopsida; Fabales; Fabaceae. The record is from RNAcentral.